CAGGAGUGUUCUAAUUUUUUUUUUUUGAGGGGGGCACGAGGGCUACUGUUUCAAAACUGCCAUUUACUUGUCUUAUUUGACUUCCAAAAUACUAUUACGUUAAUGUGCAAAUAAUCAGAACAUACACACUACAGUAUGUAUAAAGUAUAGAGGAAUUUACAUUUAAUUGCUAUAACAGAUCUAGAAGUAAAGUAAGAUUCCUCUUUUUAGAAAGUAAACAAUGAAUCUGUCACCAAGUUCUAACUGUAAAAUGGGGACAUUUUACCUUUCUUUCUUUGGAUAGGAUCAGUUCUUAAGAGCAGCCCCGGUAACUGGAGGAAUGGGAGCCGUUUUGAUGAGAAAAAUGGGCUGGAGAGAAGGAGAAGGAUUAGGAAAAAACAAAGAAGGCAAUAAGGAACCCAUCCUAGUUGAUUUUAAGACAGACCGAAAAGGUCUUGUUGCAGUAGGAGAAAGAGCACAAAAGAGGUCUGGGAACUUCUCUGCUGCAAUGAAAGAUCUGUCAGGCAAACAUCCUGUGUCUGCUUUGAUGGAGAUCUGUAAUAAAAGAAGGUGGCAACCACCUGAAUUUCUAUUGGUCCAUGAUAGUGGCCCUGAUCAUCGCAAACAUUUUCUCUUUAGGGUAUUGAGAAAUGGAGCCCUUACCAGACCCAAUUGUAUGUUUUUCUUGAAUAGGUAUUGAUAAAUGGAAGCGCUUACCAGCCCAGCUUUGCCAGCCCUAAUAAGAAGCAUGCUAAAGCCACAGCAGCUACUGUGGUUCUUCAAGCAAUGGGC
Molecule: long non-coding RNA, 771 nt
Filed under: Homo sapiens (human)
Lineage: Eukaryota; Metazoa; Chordata; Mammalia; Primates; Hominidae
Description: long non-coding RNA NONHSAT081807.2
Source: RNAcentral